UGUUCUGGUAAGGUGAGUCUUCAUCAUACACCACUUUAUCGAUGUUGUACUCAACCAGGCGACCAUCAGCAGUGGGCCAGUAUCUGUCAAUGGCCCCUCCUCGAACUAUGGGUGGUAAUCGCUUUACCCGCUCAGUACUGUCCUGACUCAAUUCUUUCAUUCUUUCUUCUACUUUGUUCAAAAGCUUUGGCGCCGAGCUUGAAGUCGAGGGUGCUGUGCCGUGCUGCUGCCAUAGUGAGGCGAGGCCCUGGGCCAUGCCUGGGGGAGACGGCCGGGGAGACUGGGGGGGCCGCGCGGCGUGUCAGGCUGCGGCCUGGCAGUCCUACUUUAAAAAGAACUAACUCCAGAUUUAGUGAAGCUGGCAUCCCUCAGUGCAUUCUCAGACUGGAUCAGGGUAUGGGAACUGUCUGAACCAUCCUUGAAAAUUUUUUGCAAAUAAAAAACUUUUCUAAAAUAAGAGGCUUACUAAAUAUUAAAAAUC
Molecule: long non-coding RNA, 481 nt
Filed under: Ovis aries (sheep)
Lineage: Eukaryota; Metazoa; Chordata; Mammalia; Artiodactyla; Bovidae
Description: lncRNA (ENSOARG00000025789.1)
Source: RNAcentral